GACGAACGCUGGCGGCGUGCCUAAUACAUGCAAGUUGAGCGCUGAAGGUUGGUACUUGUACCAACUGGAUGAGCAGCGAACGGGUGAGUAACGCGUGGGGAAUCUGCCUUUGAGCGGGGGACAACAUUUGGAAACGAAUGCUAAUACCGCAUAAAAACUUUAAACACAAGUUUUAAGUUUGAAAGAUGCAAUUGCAUCACUCAAAGAUGAUCCCGCGUUGUAUUAGCUAGUUGGUGAGGUAAAGGCUCACCAAGGCGAUGAUACAUAGCCGACCUGAGAGGGUGAUCGGCCCAAUUGGGACUGAGACACCGCCCAAACUCCUACGGGAGGCAGCAGUAGGGGAUCUUCGGCAAUGGGCGAAAGUCUGGCCGAACCACGCCGCGUGAGUGAAGAAGGUUUUCGGAUCGUAAAACUCUGUUGGUAGAGAAGAACGUUGGUGAGAGUGGAAAGCUCAUCAAGUGACGGUACCUACCCAGAAAGGGACGGCUAACUACGUG
This 497-nucleotide ribosomal RNA is filed under the name uncultured bacterium. RNAcentral's name for it is "partial 16S ribosomal RNA". It matches the Rfam family "Bacterial small subunit ribosomal RNA", at positions 28 to 507 of the family's 1533-position model. The record is from RNAcentral.